UCAAGAUUGGGAAGAUCUUAUGAGAUUGGAGCUAUUGUCGUGUGCGAUUCUUCAUAGUUAAUAAUGUACUAUACAUAUGUACCUGGGCAUGGGACCAAUCCUGCCAGUGGCCACACCUUCAAGAAGAAUGAGUCUCAUUCCACCAGCAGCUAUCAACUGUCAAUAACUUCUCCUUAGGUGUGGAGCCUGAAAAGCAACUUCUCCAUCUAUUUCAGAAAUUUGACUGUAAAGCCUUGAACUGAAAUGCCU
This 249-nucleotide long non-coding RNA is filed under the name Rattus norvegicus (Norway rat). Its description in RNAcentral is "long non-coding RNA NONRATT032464". Lineage: Eukaryota; Metazoa; Chordata; Mammalia; Rodentia; Muridae. The record is from RNAcentral.